AGCAGCUCAAGCUCCUCUCCAGGCUGGAGGUCCUCUUAGAAGAGCAGGUCCCAGCACAGGGGGAAGACCUUCCCCUGCCGUGUGCCCCCGCUCUGUCUCCAACACCCUGGCUGGAUAUAAACGCAAGGCCUUGGAGGAAGGGAAACCAACAGCAGCUCAGCAGCCUUCCAAUAAGAGAGUGAGGGGGCCGAGUGGAGACGGCGUGCCGGCUCCAGCAGCACACCCUGGGCCUGCUGCAGCGCGGAGCUCCAAGCAAAGAGGUGAGAAGGUGCUGUGGUACCCGCCGUGCUGAGGCGCUUCCCUGUGCGAGCACACUGAGUUUGCUUAGGGUUGGCUUUGCUUUUUCCUUCUCUGUGGAGGGGAAAAGAGUGGAAGGCUACAAAGUCCAAAGGCAGUGAGGUGCCAGAACAUGUAACCCUGUCUCUUCCCGUUAACUCCAUGGUGGUCUUCUGCACGCCUCCUGGAAAUGUCAUUCACUGGGAGGCUUCCUAGUCCCAUUUCCUCCGUCUUUUUGCUGCCUUCUGCUUGUACGGCAUGGAUGUUUCUGCC
Molecule: long non-coding RNA, 549 nt
Filed under: Gallus gallus (chicken)
Lineage: Eukaryota; Metazoa; Chordata; Aves; Galliformes; Phasianidae
Description: lncRNA (ENSGALG00010028938.1)
Source: RNAcentral